This is a small nucleolar RNA of Hippocampus comes (tiger tail seahorse), 151 nucleotides long. Lineage: Eukaryota; Metazoa; Chordata; Actinopteri; Syngnathiformes; Syngnathidae. The record is from Ensembl.
CCUCGGUGAAGAUACGAUGACGAGUCGGAUCGGGAUUUUGUUUGCUGCGGGGUGGCCGCUUCAGCUCGCGUUCUGCGUUCCUGCUUCGGCUCCCGCCGGCAAUACAAAGUCGUUUUUCUGCUGAAGAUGCUGAGGCAUUUGUCUGAGAGGG